GGCCAGCAUCAAGAGUCGGGGCGAUCCCUGACGCCAACCUGCUCUCCCGGGCAAGGUGGCACCCUCCGGCAAACGGCGGGGAUGUGGCCGGACCGGCAACCAAACGGGCUUCG
Molecule: non-coding RNA, 113 nt
Filed under: Methylobacterium sp.
Lineage: Bacteria; Pseudomonadati; Pseudomonadota; Alphaproteobacteria; Hyphomicrobiales; Methylobacteriaceae
Also listed under: 1 other name
Description: SAM-I-IV sequence
Rfam family: SAM-I/IV (S-adenosyl methionine) riboswitch aptamer
About the family: It is found upstream of a number of genes which code for proteins involved in methionine or cysteine biosynthesis. It has been found mostly in the order Actinomycetales.
Source: RNAcentral